This 62-nucleotide transfer RNA is filed under the name Triticum aestivum (bread wheat). It matches the Rfam family "tRNA", at positions 6 to 65 of the family's 71-position model. From Rfam's summary of the family: Transfer RNA (tRNA) molecules are approximately 80 nucleotides in length. Their secondary structure includes four short double-helical elements and three loops (D, anti-codon, and T loops). Further hydrogen bonds mediate the characteristic L-shaped molecular structure. tRNAs have two regions of fundamental functional importance: the anti-codon, which is responsible for specific mRNA codon recognition, and the 3' end, to which the tRNAs corresponding amino acid is attached (by aminoacyl-tRNA synthetases). tRNAs cope with the degeneracy of the genetic code in two manners: having more than one tRNA (with a specific anti-codon) for a particular amino acid; and 'wobble' base-pairing, i.e. permitting non-standard base-pairing at the 3rd anti-codon position. Lineage: Eukaryota; Viridiplantae; Streptophyta; Magnoliopsida; Poales; Poaceae. RNAcentral also lists the same sequence under 1 other name. The record is from Rfam by way of RNAcentral.
UGUUGCUUAGUUGGUAGAGCACAAGGCUCUUAACCUUGUGGUCGUGGGUUCAAGCCCUAUCA